UGUCGGCUCAUCGCAUCCUGGGGCUGGAGCAGGUCCCAAGGGUUGGGCUGUUCGCCCAUUAAAGCGGUACGUGAGCUGGGUUUAGAACGUCGUGAGACAGUUCGGUCCCUAUCUGUCGCGGGCGAAGGAGGUUUGACGGGAGCUGCCCCUAGUACGAGAGGACCGGGGUGGACGGACCUCUGGUGUGCGAGCUGUUCCGCCAGGAGCAUCGCUCGGUAGCUAUGUCCGGCAGGGAUAAGCGCUGAAGGCAUCUAAGCGCGAAACCCGCCUGAAGAUGAGACCUCCCAGGGCGCAAGCCCUCUGAAGGGCCCUCGUAGAUUACGAGGUUGAUAGGCCGGAGGUGUAAGCGCCGUAAGGCGUUCAGCUGACCGGUACUAAUCGCCCGUGCGGCUUGACCAC
This 399-nucleotide ribosomal RNA is filed under the name Candidatus Rokuibacteriota bacterium. RNAcentral's name for it is "bacterial LSU rRNA". It matches the Rfam family "Bacterial large subunit ribosomal RNA", at positions 2530 to 2925 of the family's 2925-position model. The record is from RNAcentral. Lineage: Bacteria; Candidatus Rokuibacteriota.